AAGUCUUGACAUAUUUCGGAGGGAAUUAGAGAUAAUUCCUUACGACUUCGGUCGACUGAAAUACAGGUGGUGCAUGGUU
Molecule: ribosomal RNA, 79 nt
Filed under: uncultured Anaerococcus sp.
Lineage: Bacteria; Bacillati; Bacillota; Tissierellia; Tissierellales; Peptoniphilaceae
Description: partial 16S ribosomal RNA
Source: RNAcentral